AUUGAACGCUGGCGGCGUGCCUAACACAUGCAAGUCGAGCGGUAACAGGUGUAGCAAUACAUGCUGACGAGCGGCGAACGGGUGAGUAAUGCUUCGGAAUCUACCCAAUGGUGGGGAAUAACCAGCCGAAAGGUUGGCUAAUACCGCAUACGUCCCACGGGAGAAAGCAGGGGAUCGCAAGACCUUGCGCCAAUGGAUGAGCCGAAGUCGGAUUAGCUAGNGGUAGGGUAACGGCCUACCAAGGCGACGAUCCGUAGCUGGUCUGAGAGGACGACCAGCCACACUGGGACUGAGACACGGCCCAGACUCCUACGGGAGGCAGCAGUGGGGAAUAUUGGACAAUGGGGAAACCCUGAUCCAGCGACGCCGCGUGUGUGAAGAAGGCCUGC
RNAcentral lists this ribosomal RNA (389 nucleotides) under uncultured bacterium. RNAcentral describes it as "bacterial SSU rRNA". It matches the Rfam family "Bacterial small subunit ribosomal RNA", at positions 29 to 419 of the family's 1533-position model. The record is from RNAcentral.